This 774-nucleotide ribosomal RNA is filed under the name uncultured bacterium. RNAcentral describes it as "bacterial SSU rRNA". It matches the Rfam family "Bacterial small subunit ribosomal RNA", at positions 8 to 796 of the family's 1533-position model. The record is from RNAcentral.
AGAGUUUGAUCAUGGCUCAGGACGAACGCUGGCGGCGUGCUUAACACAUGCAAGUCGAACGGUGAACUCCGCUUGCGGGGGGAUCAGUGGCGAACGGGUGAGUAACACGUGGGCAACCUGCCCUCAGCUCUGGGAUAACUCCAAGAAAUUGGGGCUAAUACCGGAUAUGACCGCUGACCGCAUGGUCUGGUGGUGGAAAGAUUUAUCGGCUGGGGAUGGGCCCGCGGCCUAUCAGCUUGUUGGUGGGGUAGUGGCCUACCAAGGCGACGACGGGUAGCCGGCCUGAGAGGGUGACCGGCCACACUGGGACUGAGACACGGCCCAGACUCCUACGGGAGGCAGCAGUGGGGAAUAUUGCGCAAUGGGCGAAAGCCUGACGCAGCGACGCCGCGUGGGGGAUGACGGCCUUCGGGUUGUAAACCUCUUUCAGCAGGGACGAAGCGAAAGUGAUGGUACCUGCAGAAGAAGCACCGGCCAACUACGUGCCAGCAGCCGCGGUAAUACGUAGGGGUGCAAGCGUUGUCCGGAAUUAUUGGGCGUAAAGAGCUCGUAGGCGGUUUGUUGCGUCGGCUGUGAAAACCUGAGGCUCAACCUCAGGCCUGCAGUCGAUACGAGCAGACUAGAGUGUUGCAGGGGAGACUGGAAUUCCUGGUGUAGCGGUGAAAUGCGCGAUAUCAGGAGGAACACCGGUGGCGAAGGCGGGUCUCUGGGCAACAACUGACGCUGAGGAGCGAAAGCGUGGGGAGCGAACAGGAUUAGAUACCCUAGUAGUCC